This 92-nucleotide transfer RNA is filed under the name Mycolicibacterium duvalii. RNAcentral describes it as "tRNA-Leu". Lineage: Bacteria; Bacillati; Actinomycetota; Actinomycetes; Mycobacteriales; Mycobacteriaceae. The record is from RNAcentral.
GUCUGCGGCAGGGCGGUGAUGACCCCGGCGAUCAGCAGGCCGCCGAGCGCGGUGAGCAGCAGCGCGCGCCGGGUCGCUUCGGCUUGCAGGCU